RNAcentral lists this ribosomal RNA (397 nucleotides) under uncultured bacterium. RNAcentral's name for it is "partial 16S ribosomal RNA". It matches the Rfam family "Bacterial small subunit ribosomal RNA", at positions 523 to 918 of the family's 1533-position model. The record is from RNAcentral.
AUACGUAGGUGACAAGCGUUAUCCGGAUUUACUGGGCGUAAAGGGCGUGUAGGCGGUCUUGCAAGUCAGAAGUGAAAUUCCUGAGCUCAACUCGGGCGCUGCUUCUGACACUGCAGGACUUGAGUGCUGGAGGGGAUAGCGGAAUUCCUAGUGGAGCGGUAAAAUGCGCAGAUAUUAGGAAUUACACCGGUGGCGAAGGCGGCUUUCUGGACAGUAACGGACACUGAGGCUCGAAAUCGGGGGGAGCAAACAGGAUUAGAUACCCGGGUAGUCCACGCCGUAAACGAUGAAUACUAGGUGUAGGGGGUAUCGACUCCCUCUGUGCCGCAGUUAACACAAUAAGUAUUCCGCCUGGGGAGUACGGCCGCAAGGUUGAAACUCAAAUGAAUUGACGGGG